RNAcentral lists this long non-coding RNA (3320 nucleotides) under Pomacea canaliculata. RNAcentral describes it as "uncharacterized LOC112570600". Lineage: Eukaryota; Metazoa; Mollusca; Gastropoda; Architaenioglossa; Ampullariidae. The record is from RNAcentral.
AUAAUAAUAAUUGUCGAUUUGUAAUGCGCAGGUAUCCAUUCGGAAGAAUGCUCAUUGCGCAAUGCAAGGUAUUGUCACUCAGCAUCAACAGUCCUUGUCUGCCCCAGUCCACCAUCGUGUUUUGAAUUCACCCACAACCAACCUCCUCACCCAGCCCAUCCCCCACCUGUUUAUACCCACCUGUCUGCUGCACCGCCGCUAACCCCUAGAGUGCACGUCAGUCAUCUGGUGUCCUUGCUGACCCGCGCGGCACGUGCUGGCUGUCGUCGUGGUGUAGGUGACGAGCACUGACGACAGGACCGAUACUCGCCGUGCUGACGGUAGGGGGCUGGGGUGGGUUGGGGUUAGCACACCAUGUGACAGCUCGUGCACUGGAGGGAGACCACGCGAGGUGUUCACAGGGGAACUGUUACAUCGCCUGCUCUAAUCUGUAACAUCUCCACCUCCAUAACCCCUCCCCCCCCGCCACCUGCAUCUGCACGUCUGUCGGAGGGUGUGUCCGCACGUGAGCAAACAACGAGCUGCGCAUGCGUGUGUUUGGUGUGUGUGUGAGAGAGAGAGAAAGAGAGGUUACAGAAGGUUCAGAUGCCAGUGUUGAUAUCAAGGUGUGACACAUAGGACAUGACAAUAACACCGACCAACUUUAUUUGUCCCAGUGGCCAAUGUGAAGACGGGGAGGUGCUCUGGUCACAGCAGUAACAGUUAGAAACAAACACAGAAAUCAAGUUCCUUGUAAGGUGCCGCGUUAACAGAUGUCAACAGUGAAAAAUCUGAGCAAAUAAAAGAUAAAAGUGAUGGGCAAGUGACAAUCGUGAUCUACACACCAAGCAAAUAGUUUACCUGUGUGUGAGAGAUUAUGAUAUAAAGGUUUGCCGUGGUGUCUAGAACAGGUGGACCACUCACAGGUGACGGCCCCUAGUGCCGUGUGCAGCUCUCUUGCUGUGUACAAGAUGCUGAUUGUGAGGCUGUACCACAGUGUCAUGUCUGUCAUGUCUGUCAUGUCUGUCAUCGUGUCCCCGGGGGACUGGCGCUGGUCUCAUCACACUGUGUUGUUGUGAUUCCACUCUUGAUAUCAGUGUCUACAGUGUGGACCCCAGGGGUCACCAAUCACCAGUUGGUCGUCUUGAUGGAGUUGGUGCCUCAGUCCUUCACUGUGGUCACUUCUGGUGAAAAGGCCUCAGAACAUUUCUCCCGAUGAUGAUGUUACUGGCAAUGUCCUGCUCGGCGACAUCCUCACUUGUUCUCACUCACCUCGCAUUGAAUGGCGGGCGGCAAACAAAAACUGACUGAAGUUCUGUUGGUGGGCGCGACAGUCCUGGUCCAUUGACGGUCGUCACCGGGCUGUGGGAGGUCAGCCAGUGCAGCUCGUGCAAAGUUGCAGGGACAGUGACUGGCCAGUCAUCCGGGGACUUUGUCAUGUACUUUAUUGUAUUCACACCUGUCAUCGCUUUGAUUCUUUCCCCAUUUCCUUUCAGUUAUCUGCUCUCUUUCAAAGGAAAGAAAAAUCAGGUGAGAGUGCGGCGCCUGGCGGUGGCUUUUGAUGUGAGACGUGCCGCACGUGAGGAGGAACAAAGCUCGCGCUGACCUGCUCCUCGCUCUUUGUGCUGCAUCUUCAGUCAUCCCCUGGAUGAAAAAAACCCACAGCCUUUAAUUGGGGAGCAGUCAUGUGAUCUUGCGAUCUGUGGAGAAAUGAGGAGAGAGUGCGAUAAGCACAGUGCGUACAGGUUAUCUCCCUUUAGUCGCGGAGGGCGCUGCAGUCGUCAGGAGAACCUGUGUGGUGGCGGUGCACAGCAUCGUCUGUCAGCCCUCCACGGUUUUCAUUCGUCUCACCUGGAUUCCAACAGGUGAGGACGGAGGGCGAUUGCCAGGGAAGUCCUAUGGUAUUUACAGGAGAUUCCGUGAGCUCAGUGAGGGAGAGCGGCUAAAAAUAGACGACGGUGAGCAAACGAGACAAGGAUGUCGACACCCGAGGUGGGUGGCCUGGCGCCCGUAAGGGAGGUCAGUGGCUUGGCGACAAAUGGUUUUCCUGCGCGCGCAUCUCUUCCUGAAUCCUGUCCCAUCAUUCCUCAGUGUGGCAGCCAGAGCUUGUGGGGAGUGCCCGGAAGUGACGUCGACAGCCAAGAGGAGAGCAGCAUGAUGAGCAGUGACGUGUGCACUGGCUGUGACGCUUAUGCGAACAGCGACGAAGAAUAUCGCCGCGUGCGCCGGAGGGAGCAGAACAGAAGAGCCGCUCAGAGAUGCAGGGCCAGACGCAAGCUGAAGGAAGUCGCCAUCACACAGGAAACGGAACAGGAGCUAGCGCGCAUGCGCUGUCUGGAGCUGGAGGCAUGCCGACUGCUGUCACAGAAUCAGGCGCUGAGACACGCGCUCAGCCAGCACGUGCUGUGGGUGCCAGGGGGAGACCACUCUCAGCGCUCAGCAAGGAGGAGUCAGCCGGUGGCUCCAGGCGUUGACGCGUUUCUCCAGACACUGGCGGCGGACAAUCACCGUGGUGGAGACCAACAGCAGUGACCUUCCAGCACUUGCCACAGGGACAAUCGCUAAACAUCUUCACAGACACGUCAGCAGAGGUGGCCACGUGUCACUCGUCCUGUUACACGCACACACGUGGUCUGGUGUUGUCACCAACUCACCUGAGCGCAAAGUUAAUCAGUCAAUGAGUUGAGUUCAGCAGCAGAUGCCGAGCUGUCCACGUCUGAGGGACAACUGAGACCAAGAGACCGGACCUUGUGACACAGCACACCUUGUCGCCAUGUCCCCUGCUGUUCUGUUUGUUAUGUCAGGUAUCAGUGGAAUAUUAAUGUUUGUGGUUACAUACAGUGUUGUCAGACGCCAUGUUUACUUUGUAUGAAUGUUGUUGUUGUUGUUGUUUACUGCUGUGUACCACCGACACCGGCACCACUCAGUGCCAGACACUGCACGUGAUUCUCUCCACUGCUGUAGGAGGAAAUGAUACUGGGAAACUUGCCUUGUCACUGGCGCCAUGUACUCAUGCUACGUCAUGCUACGUCAUGUCACGUCAUGCUGCGUUAUGCUACAUCAUGCCACGUCACGUCUGCCCGCUUUUGUGCGUUACCCACGUGCGUUGCUCGAAUGGAUAGCCACUCAGGCUCACCACGACAGAACGAAGUCGUCUCAUCAAAAACAAUGACACCCGUGACAUAACUACACACAUGUGACGUAACUACACACCUGUGACGUAACUACACACCUGUGACGUAACUACACACCUGUGAGGACAGACGAGGCGCAGCUGCUGACAAUCGUAAACAUGAAAACAAUUGUUGUUGACUGCAGGCAGUUGGUGAUUACAGUCUGUA